Ipomoea nil (Japanese morning glory) is the source of this 234-nucleotide long non-coding RNA. RefSeq lists it as uncharacterized. The transcript has 3 exons. The record is from RefSeq and is a predicted model, not a curated record. Lineage: Eukaryota; Viridiplantae; Streptophyta; Magnoliopsida; Solanales; Convolvulaceae.
GACCAACUAUUUUUAAUUUUGAGAAAUAAAUGAGGGCAAUUUUGGAAUAUUGAAAAGUAAUCUCACAUUACCUAACUAAAACUUGGUAAUCACAUUAUCUCAAAUAUACCCCCAUUUCCUACGUGGCAGUAAUCUUAUAUUACUUACCCUCUCAGAUUACCUAAACCAAACAUGGUAAUCUAAGAUUACCUUUCUCAGAUUACCAAGGUAAUCUGAGAUACCUUGAACCAAACG